RNAcentral lists this ribosomal RNA (496 nucleotides) under uncultured bacterium. Its description in RNAcentral is "partial 16S ribosomal RNA". It matches the Rfam family "Bacterial small subunit ribosomal RNA", at positions 29 to 507 of the family's 1533-position model. The record is from RNAcentral.
AUGAACGCUGGCGGCGUGCCUAAUACCUGCAAGUCGAGCGAACAGACGAGGAGCUUGCUCCUCUGACGUUAGCGGCGGACGGGUGAGUAACACGUGGAUAACCUACCUAUAAGACUGGGAUAACUUCGGGAAACCGGAGCUAAUACCGGAUAAUAUAUUGAACCGCAUGGUUCAAUAGUGAAAGACGGUUUUGCUGUCACUUAUAGAUGGAUCCGCGCCGCAUUAGCUUGUUGGUAAGGUAACGGCUUACCAAGGCAACGAUGCGUAGCCGACCUGAGAGGGUGAUCGGCCACACUGGAACUGAGACACGGUCCAGACUCCUACGGGAGGCAGCAGUAGGGAAUCUUCCGCAAUGGGCGAAAGCCUGACGGAGCAACGCCGCGUGAGUGAUGAAGGUCUUCGGAUCGUAAAACUCUGUUAUUAGGGAAGAACAAAUGUGUAAGUAACUAUGCACGUCUUGACGGUACCUAAUCAGAAAGCCACGGCUAACUACGUG